This 253-nucleotide ribosomal RNA is filed under the name uncultured bacterium. RNAcentral's name for it is "partial 16S ribosomal RNA". It matches the Rfam family "Bacterial small subunit ribosomal RNA", at positions 524 to 776 of the family's 1533-position model. The record is from RNAcentral.
UACGUAGGGCGCAAGCGUUAUCCGGAAUUAUUGGGCGUAAAGAGCUCGUAGGCGGUUUGUCGCGUCUGCCGUGAAAACUCGGGGCUUAACUCCGGGCCUGCAGUGGGUACGGGCAGACUAGAGUGCGGUAGGGGAGACUGGAAUUCCUGGUGUAGCGGUGAAAUGCGCAGAUAUCAGGAGGAACACCGAUGGCGAAGGCGGGUCUCUGGGCCGUAACUGACGCUGAGGAGCGAAAGCGUGGGGAGCGAACAGG